Prionailurus viverrinus (fishing cat) is the source of this 1528-nucleotide long non-coding RNA. RefSeq lists it as uncharacterized. The record is from RefSeq and is a predicted model, not a curated record. NCBI's taxonomy places the organism in Eukaryota, Metazoa, Chordata, Mammalia, Carnivora, Felidae. The transcript is spliced from 3 exons.
AGGGGCGACUAGUGACUAAGGGAGAUAAAUGUCCUGAUUGUCCCCGGUCUCCAUGUAAAUAGAAAUGUAACUGGCACCGGGCUGCAGGGUCACGUGCACAUUCUCUCAUGAAAAUAUUAGGCCCAUAGUACAUUCGAUUGUUUGCUUUUAUGACCAGUAAGUCAUUAACAUAAUGCGUUUUAUUAUUAGCCUACUUUGAACAGAUGAGACGCAAUCACCAGCGACCGGACGAGAACCCCCACGGAUGCCUCCACGAUGACUUGGAUGGGGAUGUUGAAGUCUCGGAGAAACAUUGUUGCCAGUGGUGCGCUGGGAAAUUGGAGAAAGUUUUGGAGCAUUUACUGAUGGCAACACACCUGGGACAUCCUGCCGGAACGCUGGGCUGCGAAGAUGGGUCAGGAUUCAUCUCUGACCACGUAGGGAGGCGAUGACCGUCUCUGUGUUCGGUGCUGGAGGGCUGCAGGGGGCCCAGGUGGGGUCAGAGGAGUCCUGUGCAGUACAGGAGUGAGCGUGGAAGGCAGGCUUUCUGGGAGGUGCUGGAGCUUGAGUUGAAUCACCAGAAGUGUCCCUGUUUGAACCUGUUUUUAAGACCGAAUUCAUGUCAAAUGAAAGCCGAAUGCUGACAAUAAAAACGGCAGCAGCAAGCGUUUACUGAGCACGUCCUAUGUGCUACGCAGGCACUCUGCCAAAGCCGGGUAUUAUUAGCUCGUGUAACCUGACAGCAACUUUACGAAGAUGAUACUCUGGGGGGCCCCUCUUUUAGGUGAGAAGAUCGAGGCACAGGGAGGUUAAUAACUUGCCACAGACCACGGAGCUCGUGAAAUGUGGAACUGAGGUUGAACGCAGGCUCUGUGACCCUGGAGCUACAAUCUCCACCACUGAGGACACACUGCUUCAAAUAACUCCACAGUAUACAAUGUAACGGAAAGUUUCCCGGGAGUUCGAAUUGAGCAAACAGGACCGGUUUAAACCACCACACAUGCCCUCAAGAGCCCGGGGCCACCACGUCAGUCUCAUAUUGGCAGAACGAUCAGAUGUUCCGAUCACAGAGCCCGCCAGCUUGGCGACAGUUCAUUAGCUGUAAGUGUAGUCGUAAAUGUGCCAUGAAGAAAUUUUCUGUAACCAAUUCCAGUAAUAAUUGGAUUAGAUACUUUGUUAGUGCAGGUUUCAAUAAAGCUGCAAUGUGAACUUCACGUUCAAAUGAGCAAAACUGUUUGGCAGAGAUCAAAUGACAGCGCAUUAAAUUGGCACCGAAGAUCACCCGCUGGCAGAGUUUUGGUUAAGCACAGGGUCGGAUUAUCUUGAACCGGCAAACAAAGCUUUGAAAUUAUUAAUGCCGUUUUGUACAACGUACCAUGCAAAUAGAGGUUCUCUGCCUCCCUGUUAAUGGAAGUCAAAGCACAGAGCAAUUUAAAAGAAAGGGAUGGACCUGAGGCCAUAGGGUCUUAUUUUUAAACACAACAUGUGUGAGUUAACUUAACAAAACAUGAUCUCGUAGAGUAAAUUGAUGGUGCUCAUUUAGGAGCGC